UGAGGAAGAUAAAAGAGCUUGUUUUCUUGAAGAUGAAAAGAAAAGAGAAGAAGAAAAGAGAAAGGUGUGCAUCGGUUAGCUCUUGGAAAGGAAGAUGAAAUUUUAUUUAUUUUUCUUGGGUGAGGGUCGAUGGGUAGGAGGAGAGAA
Long non-coding RNA from Juglans microcarpa x Juglans regia, 147 nucleotides. RefSeq lists it as uncharacterized. The record is from RefSeq and is a predicted model, not a curated record. The transcript is spliced from 3 exons. Lineage: Eukaryota; Viridiplantae; Streptophyta; Magnoliopsida; Fagales; Juglandaceae.